AUGAUUUUGGAGGCUGAGAAGUCCUACAAUCUGCCCUCUGCAAACUGCCCACUCCGGAAAGUGUGUGGUGUAAUUCAGUCUGAGUUUGAAGGCUUGAGAACUAGGGGAGCCACCGAUUUUGGAUUAACUGGAUUAAUUAAUCACCAUCAAAUGUGGCGAUUCAGCGGGGUAGAUUGAGAGAGUGACUUGGAAUCACUUUUCACCUUGUCAUGUUUUGGCCAGUACAGAUGAUGGCUUUGUAUAUAAUUUGGGCACAUGUUCAGAUAAGCCAAUUUUUACACUUAAUGCCCACAAUGAUGAAAUCUCUGGUCUUGAUCUAAGCAGUCAAAUCAAGGGCUGUCUUGUGACUGCUUCAGCAGACAAAUAUGUGAAGAUGUGGGACAUCUCAGGAGAUAGGCCAAGUCUAGUUCAUUCUAGGGGCAUGAAAAUGGGAGUUCUCCUCUGUUCUUCAUGUUGCCCUGAUUUGCCAUUUAUUUAUGCCUUUGGAGGUCAGAAAGAAGGGCUUCGAGUCUGGGAUAUAAGCACAGUCUCGUCAGUAAAUGAAGCAUUUGGAAGACGAGAGAGGCUUGUUCUUGCCAAUGCAAGAAAUUCGUCUGUUAGUAGCCCUUUUGGGAGCAGGAGCUCAGAUACACCAAUGGAGUCCUCAUGAAGAUCAUAUAGUUUCCUGUUUUGUUAACCUUAACUGAGAGUUUUAAAAAGCUGGC
Molecule: RNA transcript, 704 nt
Organism: Lemur catta (Ring-tailed lemur)
Lineage: Eukaryota; Metazoa; Chordata; Mammalia; Primates; Lemuridae
Gene name: periodic tryptophan protein 1 homolog
Exons: 2
Source: RefSeq, a predicted model, not a curated record